GCUUGUCUCAAAGAUUAAGCCAUGCAUGUCUAAGUGUAAAUACGUCUACACUGUGAAACUGCGAAUGGCUCAUUAAAUCAGUUAUCGUUUAUUUGAUGAUCUCUUGUUACAUGGAUAACCGUAGUAAUUCUAGAGCUAAUACAUGCGUCAAGCCCCGACUUCGGAAGGGGUGUAUUUAUUAGAUACAAAACCAAUGCCCUUCGGGGCUCCUUGGUGAUUCAUGAUAACUAUACGAAUCGCACGGCCUUGCGCCGGCGAUGGUUCAUUCAAAUUUCUUCCCUAUCAACUUUCGAUGUUUGGGUAUUGGCCAAACAUGGUUGCAACGGGUAACGGAGGGUUAGGGCUCGACCCCGGAGAAGGAGCCUGAGAAACGGCUACUACAUCCAAGGAAGGCAGCAGG
RNAcentral lists this ribosomal RNA (400 nucleotides) under Sarocladium strictum. RNAcentral describes it as "partial small subunit ribosomal RNA". It matches the Rfam family "Eukaryotic small subunit ribosomal RNA", at positions 30 to 432 of the family's 1831-position model. Lineage: Eukaryota; Fungi; Ascomycota; Sordariomycetes; Hypocreales; Sarocladiaceae. The record is from RNAcentral.